GCUUGGAUGAUCCUCAGUGGUCUAGGGUGCAAGCUUCAAACCUGUAGCUGUCUGGGGACAGAGUGGUUCAAUUACAGCUUUCAAGAG
Molecule: transfer RNA, 87 nt
Filed under: Procavia capensis (Cape rock hyrax)
Lineage: Eukaryota; Metazoa; Chordata; Mammalia; Hyracoidea; Procaviidae
Description: tRNA-SeC (TCA) (tRNA-SeC-TCA-3-1)
Source: RNAcentral